GUCUAUGGCCAUACCACCCUGAACGCACCCCAUCUCGUCUGAUCUUGGAAGCUAAGCAGGGUUGGGCCUAAAACCAGGACAUAUUCU
Molecule: ribosomal RNA, 87 nt
Organism: Panthera tigris altaica (Amur tiger)
Lineage: Eukaryota; Metazoa; Chordata; Mammalia; Carnivora; Felidae
Source: Ensembl